This is a small nucleolar RNA of Sapajus apella (tufted capuchin), 160 nucleotides long. RefSeq annotates it as small nucleolar RNA SNORA58. NCBI's taxonomy places the organism in Eukaryota, Metazoa, Chordata, Mammalia, Primates, Cebidae. The transcript has a single exon. The record is from RefSeq and is a predicted model, not a curated record.
GGGCAUACCUUUAGACCUUGCCUGACUGUGGUCAUGGCCAGGCAGAGGGGACUGGCAAAGGCAGUAUUCUUACAUACUAUUGUAUGUAAGAAUAAUUUGAAAUUCCUGCCAGUUUUAGCCAGUAAUCAGUGGCUGGAUAAAUUGCAGGACUCUAACAUUC